CGGGACGGGUGAGUAACGCGUGGGUAACCUGCCUUAUACUGGGGGAUAACAGCCAGAAAUGACUGCUAAUACCGCAUAAGCGCACAGAACCGCAUGGUUCGGUGUGGAAAACUCCGGUGGUAUAAGAUGGACCCGCGUUGGAUUAGCUAGUUGGCAGGGCAGCGGCCUACCAAGGCGACGAUCCAUAGCCGGCCUGAGAGGGUGAACGGCCACAUUGGGACUGAGACACGGCCCAG
Molecule: ribosomal RNA, 236 nt
Filed under: uncultured bacterium
Lineage: Bacteria
Description: partial 16S ribosomal RNA
Rfam family: Bacterial small subunit ribosomal RNA
Source: RNAcentral